AGUGAACGCUGGCGGCGUGCCUAAUACAUGCAAGUCGAACGGAAUUUAAAAGAGCUUGCUCUUUUAAAUUUAGUGGCGCACGGGUGAGUAAUAUAUAGCUAAUCUGCCCCUUGCUGGAGGACAACAGUUAGAAAUGACUGCUAAUACUCCAUACUCCUUUUUACCAUAAGAUAAAUCGGGAAAGAAUUUCGGCAAGGGAUGAGACUAUAUCGUAUCAGCUAGUCGGUGGGGUAACGGCCUACCGAGGCUAUGACGCGUAACUGGUCUGAGAGGAUGAUCAGUCACAUUGGAACUGAGACACGGUCCAAACUCCUACGGGAGGCAGCAGUAGGGAAUAUUGCGCAAUGGGGGAAACCCUGACGCAGCAACGCCGCGUGGAGGAUGACACUUUUCGGAGCGUAAACUCCUUUUGUUAGGGAAGAAUAAU
This 427-nucleotide ribosomal RNA is filed under the name Campylobacter gracilis. RNAcentral describes it as "bacterial SSU rRNA". It matches the Rfam family "Bacterial small subunit ribosomal RNA", at positions 29 to 453 of the family's 1533-position model. Lineage: Bacteria; Pseudomonadati; Campylobacterota; Epsilonproteobacteria; Campylobacterales; Campylobacteraceae. The record is from RNAcentral.